RNAcentral lists this small RNA (991 nucleotides) under Arabidopsis thaliana (thale cress). RNAcentral's name for it is "ATSL144710". Lineage: Eukaryota; Viridiplantae; Streptophyta; Magnoliopsida; Brassicales; Brassicaceae. The record is from RNAcentral.
UCCGUCAGGAAAAAAUUGGUUAGUCUCUCAAAAUUUACACUCAAAUCUCUCCAUCUCCAUCUUCUUCUUUGACUAAUAUAUUUUUGCUUCUAGCCGUCGGGGACGAAACAGAAGCCGUUACCGCCGAAGUCAUCAUCGAGUAAGUUAUCAUCGCCAGUGGCUGUACAAGACGAGAUCGAGAUCGAGAUUGCAGAAGUGUUGUAUGGUAUGAUGAGGAUGCCUUCCACAUCAAAACAAGAAGCAGCCGGUAACGAUUUGACGGAGGCAGCGAAAUCAACUGUAGAAGUCAAAUCUCGAGUCUCUUCACCGAUCUCAAAUCCUCAGACUCUUCCUCAAUCAUCUAUCACACUAGCUGCAAAUUCUAGCUCCUCUAAUGUUUCAGCCAUCGGUAACAUCCUCUCUCCAUUCACAAAUCGGAACGACUAUUUUUGUUUUUUUUUUUCUUUUUUGCUCACUUUGUUUUACCAUUUUCGCUUCAGCUCCUAAGAGAAAGAAGCCGAGACAUGUCAAGUACGAAGACGAUAACAGUUCACGCGUCACUACAAUCAAAUCCGAAGCCGAAGCUCCUUCAAAAAGUCAAGUUCCGUUCAGUAAUCAACUAAAGAGCUCAGGAUCCGGCGAAGGAAACAGCUCCGUAUUGGAUUCUAUCAUACCACUGACGAGAGAAAGCAACGCUUCGUUAGAUUCGGAGAAAAAAGAGAACAAUCUGUCAAAAGACGAAACAAUAUUGCCGAAAGUGGAAUCUUCUUCAGGAUUUAGAUCCGAUGGUGAAGGAGCUAAAUCGUAAGCAUUCAAUCUAUACAUUCAUUUUUUCUGGAUUUUUUACCCAAGUUUUGGUACUGAAUGUUUUUUGUUUUUAAUCAUGCAGGAGUUCGCCGGAAAAAGAGAAGUUUGAGAUAGAUCUGAUGGUAAGUGUCAAUAACAUAUAUAUUUUAUUUUAUUUUCCUUUUUUUUUGAAGUUCCGUACUAAAUUAAUUGUCCGUCGGUUCAG